GAUGAACGCUGGCGGCGUGCCUAACACAUGCAAGUCGAACGGGUCUCUUAUCUUGGAGGUUUCGGCCAAAGAGGUUUGAGAUUAGUGGCGGACGGGUGAGUAACGCGUGGAGAACCUGCCCUGUACUGGGGGAUAACAGUGAGAAAUCACUGCUAAUACCGCAUAAGCGCACGGAGCCGCAUGGCCCUGUGUGAAAAACUCCGGUGGUACAGGAUGGCUCCGCGUUGGAUUAGCCAGUUGGCGGGGUAACGGCCCACCAAAGCAACGAUCCAUAGCCGGCCUGAGAGGGUGAACGGCCACAUUGGGACUGAGACACGGCCCAGACUCC
RNAcentral lists this ribosomal RNA (328 nucleotides) under uncultured Coprococcus sp. RNAcentral describes it as "bacterial SSU rRNA". It matches the Rfam family "Bacterial small subunit ribosomal RNA", at positions 28 to 339 of the family's 1533-position model. The record is from RNAcentral. Lineage: Bacteria; Bacillati; Bacillota; Clostridia; Lachnospirales; Lachnospiraceae.